UUCUAUGGUUGAUGAGUUGAUGUGGAAACAGCAAAGAAACCAGAUAGAGUGGACAAUGAUUUAUGAAAAGAACAAGGAGAGGUGUCCUAUGAACCCAGUGUGGGGAAAAAGUGUUUCAAGAAGGAGGGAAUAUACAACCAGGUCAAAUCUUGCUGUAGUCCAAAUAAGAGCUGGAGCUGAAAGAGAAGGAAAGGGAGCUCCACGAGGAGUUUGAGCACCUGAAGCGGGUCCACCAGGAGGGAGAAGUGCAAGGUGGUGGAAAACCACUAGGAACUGGAGGAGGAGACCAAUGCUUUCAGCUGACUGAAGGCCGCGGUAGAGGCAUUGCAGUCGCAGGCUUUGCAGUUUCACCUUGCAGCAGCCCCUGUGGCAGGCAAGGACAAGAAUCAACACAUGUGCACUUACAUGUCAAGAGUGGACUUUAGACUUUCAUGUGUUCAGUUGCUUGAGUUACACCUUGUGACUCUUCUCUCAUAACACGGUGUGAGGACAGACUGGGAGCUGGUACAGAUUCCAGUGUUUAACAGCCUUGCUUUCCUCUACCCCACCCCAGGUCCAGGUUUCCCUGGGCCUGGCGGGUCACCCCCCUCUAUGCAAACACAUAAAAGCCAUAAAUGCUGGAAUGCAAAACUGAUGAGGUUUCUUCUUCAGAACCAGUGUUUGUUCUCCCAUUUACAGUGUCACUAGUGCUUCAUGGAGGAGUUAGGUGUGAGUCUAGCAAAGACCCCAGCCCAUGAUACUCAGCCUAACUCCCCAAUGUGGCCACAGCAGCUCAUGUGGUGCCAUAGGUGCAGCUG
This 797-nucleotide long non-coding RNA is filed under the name Homo sapiens (human). Its description in RNAcentral is "HSALNT0345360". Lineage: Eukaryota; Metazoa; Chordata; Mammalia; Primates; Hominidae. The record is from RNAcentral.